This is a non-coding RNA of Myodes glareolus (Bank vole), 1219 nucleotides long. The record is from RefSeq and is a predicted model, not a curated record. NCBI's taxonomy places the organism in Eukaryota, Metazoa, Chordata, Mammalia, Rodentia, Cricetidae.
GACGGCGGCGCCCGGCCCUAGGAGCGAGCUCUGCGGCGCGGACUGGAGGCACUGACCGUGGCGGGUCCCGCGGAGGAGCACUGAGAGGAAUCCCGAAGAGAAGCCCCGGGAGGAUUCCUCGUCGGCAGCGUGUCCCCGAGCGUCCCAGGCGCGGGGAGCAAACGUGCCACACAAAAGCUGGCAUGGGACGCGUGCAUGCAGCAACCGUGCGGGCAAUGCGGGCUUGAGCUAUCGGGAUCUGAGCAUCUCCGAGGCGGGAAGGAACCCAGAACGUCCCGUUUGGACACGGAAACGCAACCCAUAGUUUUUUAGGAGGUGGGUUAUUCUCAAGGAAUUUUUGCCCAAGAUUAUCAGUGCAGAGGAUGGACACAGAUUUUAGGGUCGAGACGUGCUGCUGGUGGAACGCUGUCGUCCUUCUUUGAAGUUUAACAACGAGGGGUGUUCCCACACGUACGGCCACCCUGGCCACCCUUGUUGAAAGCCAUUUGCCAUAGCUCUCCCCAGUUGCAUGCAAAAGGAAGAAGAGAAAAUGGACUGCUUUAAAGUGUUUCCUAAAUCCAGAGCCCUAUGAAACACAAAGCAAGUUCCUCCCUGGCGUUUUAGGGUCAGUACGUGCUUCAUUCACAGAUAUGCUGUUGGCACUGCCUGUUUAGAAGGUAAAAAUAGUGACAGGAAGCUUCCAAUUUUUUUUUCUCCUGCUGUCUCAAGUACACACCGCUUCCAGUGUUCACAGGUCAUGCCUGACGAUCCUGCUGUCUCCGCGUACCUGGCAUUAUCUCAACAGUAGCCAGGAGGAUCUGUUUUAGACACACCUCUCAUUUAGAUAAAUCCCUGUACUGCUUCUUCAUUGCCCUUCAGAUACAUCCUAACUUACAGGGGUGUGAAGGCCUUGUUACCCCAGCACAUGCCACUCACUAGCCCUCUGUUAGCUGACAACAUAGCAUUUGCCCACCUGAGUAUUUUAUGUGCCUCUUCCCGUAGCUAGCUGCUGUUGCUCAUGGUUGGUUGGUUGUUUUUGUUUUUCAUAACUGAUCCUGCAAAAGGUCUCUGAUCAUGCCAUGCUGGGAUUUGAGGCAUCUUUCUCCUUCGGGAGCUACAUGGGUCCGCUUGACACCUCCUACUCUCUCUCUAUUCUGUUAAGAUUUCCCACCUGACUUUACUCUGCUAAGUCGUUGGCCAAAGCGGCUCUAUUCAUCAACCAGUGAAAGCAACACAUGUA